RNAcentral lists this transfer RNA (63 nucleotides) under Dipodomys ordii (Ord's kangaroo rat). It matches the Rfam family "tRNA". Rfam says of the family: Transfer RNA (tRNA) molecules are approximately 80 nucleotides in length. Their secondary structure includes four short double-helical elements and three loops (D, anti-codon, and T loops). Lineage: Eukaryota; Metazoa; Chordata; Mammalia; Rodentia; Heteromyidae. The record is from Rfam by way of RNAcentral.
GGUGGCUCAGUGGUAGAGUGCUUGCCUUGCGUGCGUGAGGUCUGGGUUCAAUCCUCAGCACCA